UGAGGUUAAGCGACUAAGCGUACACGGUGGAUGCCUAGGCAGUCAGAGGCGAUGAAGGACGUGCUAAUCUGCGAAAAGCGCCGGUGAGCUGAUAUGAAGCGCUAUCAGCCGGCGAUGUCCGAAUGGGGAAACCCAGUGCAAUCCGUUGCACUAUCCUUACCUGAAUCCAUAGGGUAAGGAGGCGAACCGGGGGAACUGAAACAUCUCAGUACCCCGAGGAAAAGAAAUCAACCGAGAUUCCCCCAGUAGCGGCGAGCGAACGGGGGAGGAGCCCAGAGCCAUCAGCGAUAUGAGUGUCAGGAGAACGGUCUGGAAAGGCCGGCAGUAAAGGGUGAGAGCCCCGUAUCCGAAGACACUGGUAUUGUGAGCUCAACGAGUAGGGCGGGACACGUGGUAUCCUGUCUGAACAUGGGGGGACCAUCCUCCAAGGCUAAAUACUCCUGACUGACCGAUAGUGAACCAGUACCGUGAGGGAAAGGCGAAAAGAACCCCGGCGAGGGGAGUGAAAGAGAACCUGAAACCGUGUACGUACAAGCAGUGGGAGCCUUGAUUUAUCAGGGUGACUGCGUACCUUUUGUAUAA
RNAcentral lists this ribosomal RNA (582 nucleotides) under Xenorhabdus ehlersii. RNAcentral describes it as "partial 23S ribosomal RNA". It matches the Rfam family "Bacterial large subunit ribosomal RNA", at positions 1 to 615 of the family's 2925-position model. Lineage: Bacteria; Pseudomonadati; Pseudomonadota; Gammaproteobacteria; Enterobacterales; Morganellaceae. The record is from RNAcentral.